AUACUUACCUGGCAGGGGAGAAACCACGCUCAAAAAGGUGGUUCUCCCAAGGCGGGGCUUAUCCAUUGUACUUCGGAUGGGUUGACCUUCGUGAUUUCCCCAAAUGCGGGAAACCCAACUACAUAAUUUAUGGUAGUGGGGGACUGCAUUCGCGCUGUCUCCUG
Protopterus annectens (West African lungfish) is the source of this 164-nucleotide small nuclear RNA. RefSeq annotates it as U1 spliceosomal RNA. The transcript has a single exon. The record is from RefSeq and is a predicted model, not a curated record. Lineage: Eukaryota; Metazoa; Chordata; Ceratodontiformes; Protopteridae.